Molecule: ribosomal RNA, 144 nt
Filed under: Triticum aestivum (bread wheat)
Lineage: Eukaryota; Viridiplantae; Streptophyta; Magnoliopsida; Poales; Poaceae
Description: partial small subunit ribosomal RNA
Source: RNAcentral
AUGUGGAUGAAAGUAGGGGAAAUGACUGAUACUACUAGAAGAAUUCUUCUUUGGCUGAUAGGUACUGUAGCUGGUAUUGCUGUGAUUGGUUUAGUAGGUGUUUUCUUUUAUGGUUCAUAUUCUGGAUUUGGUUCAUCUCUAUAG